This is a long non-coding RNA of Misgurnus anguillicaudatus (oriental weatherfish), 1834 nucleotides long. RefSeq lists it as uncharacterized. The record is from RefSeq and is a predicted model, not a curated record. NCBI's taxonomy places the organism in Eukaryota, Metazoa, Chordata, Actinopteri, Cypriniformes, Cobitidae.
UUUAAAAAAUGACUUUUUGAUUUGUCAAGUUUCACGAGUGUCGCCAUGUUUGCAGCGUUUGACCGUGUCGUUGACAACGCAUGCAAGAGUUCAUCAGCACACUGCGGGACGCUGACGCAGGCAAGGACGCGAAAUGUUGCCAGAUCAUGUUACGAGGGAUGACAUGAACCUAAAACAAACGCGAAUCAAAUUCAAAUCCUGUCUUUUACUAAUUAAACGAAAAGCAACAACCCUUAUCCGCAUUUUUUCCCUUUAUUGAUUUCCUAAAGUGCCCCUCAUAGGUGGAAUUAAACAUGCCCAAAUACGUAAAUUAUACCAGGACCAGGCAACAAUUAUACGCGGAUGUAUGACACCAAGUGGGGGAAUUUCGGAUGCAGAGGCAUAUGCAGUACAAGGCGUCCUACAAGUUCUCGACAAUACAGAUAACCACUGACAGACGCCAGCCAAUUUGCUGUCCCGCUGCACCAGAGCAAAGCGCUAGAAAUAUGGGCAGAGGAGUGACCCUUUGGCUGUGUCGCCCAUCCAUCCGAACCCGGUGGUGGGCUGGCCACCGUGGUAAUUGCCUGCGAAACAGUGUUUUGACAAGCCAGACGGGUGUAAGCCAUCAUUCUAGCAGCACGGUGAUGAGGUGUCACCUGAAGAGAGCUGUUGAGAGCCCACAUGUUUACAUGCAGCCAGUGUGGUUCCAUAGAGACAGCAGUAAUCCAUUAAGAAGGGGGCUGAUCCUGCGAGGGGUUUGAUGAAGUUGAGGCUCCUCUGCCCCAUGCAGAAGGGCAUUUAGUGCUGCCGGCCCCACUGCUUUUGUGCAGGGAUACAUCACCUGCAUGCUCCUCCAUGCUGUUUCAUCAUAGCUCCUCUCUCUUCAAACUAUUUCCAACGCCUCCAACUGGGCUGACCACCAGAAAACUUAUAUCAUAUUAUGAUACAUCUACUCCCUAUCCGGACCCACCAUCUCAAUACAAGGCCAAACCAAACCACGUACGGUUACAAGGUCAGUGAUGAGAACCGGCUUCACAGACUGGGAUUAAUUUUCCUUUUUACAGUUGCUUUUUAUGGUUGCCUGUCUUUUGUUUCAUGUGCUCUGGCGGUGCGGAGCUGUUCUAAGUAGGCAGCACUUCAUUAGGUCAGCCUGCAGGCGUGAAGGUUCCACUCAUUACUGCACACUGUACCUCCAGCGCCCCGCAUCUGAUGGAGCUUAAUGGGAUUGAGCGUGGACUUAAGGACCUGAUUGAGGCCAUUUUCCAAUUCCUCGAUAAUUAAUAUAGUCAGACAUUUCGAAAAUAUUAUUGGUCUUGAGUCAGUGGUCUUCAGGAGGAACUUCUGCUGACCAAGCAGUCUCUCUCUCUUUGUCUACUUCCUGUCUGCAAGUCUCUCAGCAUCUCUCUAUCAAAUUUUCUCACUCACAUACUCACCGUUCUUCAGGCAUUUCAGAACCAGGAAGAACGCAUAGGCGAGCGGGGUGAAAAGGUAAAUUAGGUUGUCAUGCUAAUGUAGUGUCAGGUGACUGUGUAAUUGAAUGCAUAAGGGAGGCAGUGGAAGCAGGUUGAACUUGACCCAGCUAAAACGAGCUGACCUUGAACCUCCCUCCCCCUUUUGCCACUCCUCGCAGACCCACUUGCACCGGCGGUUGCCGAUCCACGCUCACGUUGGCCUCGAGAUCCACGAGCUAGAGGUCAGCAAAUUAAGCCAAUAAAUCUCUCCGCCUCUCUGCGGCUGUAGACAUCGCUUACAUUAAACUGGGCCGUUUGCACACUUUGACUCGUCUUAAUGUAAAUGCAGCAAGAGUUUCUUAAAGAUUGGGUUAAAUGAAAUCAACUUUCAUUUUCUAAUGCAA